GAUGAUGUGGAUUAAUUCGAUGCAACGCGGUUUACCUUACCUACCCUUGACAUGUCACUAACGAAGUAGAGAUACAGUAGGUGCUCGUAAGAGAAAGUGAACACAGGUGCUGCAUGGCUGUCGUCAGCUCGUGUCGUGAGAUGUUGGGUUAAGUCCCGCAACGAGCGCAACCCUUGUCUUUAGUUGCUACGCAAGAGCACUCUAAAGAGACUGCCGGUGACAAACCGGAGGAAGGUGGGGAUGACGUCAAGUCCUCAUGGCCCUUACGGGUAGGGCUUCACACGUCAUACAAUGGUGCAUACAGAGGGUUGCCAACCCGCGAGGGGGAGCUAAUCUCAGAAAAUGCAUCGUAGUCCGGAUCGUAGUCUGCAACUCGACUACGUGAAGCUGGAAUCGCUAGUAAUCGCGGAUCAGAAUGUCGCGGUGAUACGUUCCCGGGUCUUGUACACACCGCCCGUCAUACCAUGGGAGUGGUU
This 476-nucleotide ribosomal RNA is filed under the name uncultured beta proteobacterium. RNAcentral describes it as "bacterial SSU rRNA". It matches the Rfam family "Bacterial small subunit ribosomal RNA", at positions 935 to 1415 of the family's 1533-position model. Lineage: Bacteria; Pseudomonadati; Pseudomonadota; Betaproteobacteria. The record is from RNAcentral.